This 551-nucleotide ribosomal RNA is filed under the name uncultured bacterium. RNAcentral describes it as "partial 16S ribosomal RNA". It matches the Rfam family "Bacterial small subunit ribosomal RNA", at positions 355 to 920 of the family's 1533-position model. The record is from RNAcentral.
UGGGGAAUAUUGCACAAUGGGCGAAAGCCUGAUGCAGCAACGCCGCGUGAGUGAUGAAGGUCUUCGGAUUGUAAAGCUCUGUCUUUUGGGACGAUAAUGACGGUACCAAAGGAGGAAGCCACGGCUAACUACGUGCCAGCAGCCGCGGUAAUACGUAGGUGGCGAGCGUUGUCCGGAUUUACUGGGCGUAAAGGGUGCGUAGGCGGAUGUUUAAGUGAGAUGUGAAAUACCCGGGCUUAACUUGGGUGCUGCAUUUCAAACUGGAUAUCUAGAGUGCAGGAGAGGAGAAUGGAAUUCCUAGUGUAGCGGUGAAAUGCGUAGAGAUUAGGAAGAACACCAGUGGCGAAGGCGAUUCUCUGGACUGUAACUGACGCUGAGGCACGAAAGCGUGGGUAGCAAACAGGAUUAGAUACCCUGGUAGUCCACGCCGUAAACGAUGAGUACUAGGUGUAGGAGGUAUCGACCCCUUCUGUGCCGCAGUAAACACAUUAAGUACUCCGCCUGGGAAGUACGAUCGCAAGAUUAAAACUCUAAAGUGAAUUGACGGGGUC